Small nuclear RNA from Otolemur garnettii (small-eared galago), 102 nucleotides. The record is from Ensembl. Lineage: Eukaryota; Metazoa; Chordata; Mammalia; Primates; Galagidae.
UUGCUUUGGCAGCAAAUAUACUAAAAUUAGAACAGCAGAGAGAAGAUUAGCACAACCACUACACAAGAUGAUACACAAAUUUGUGAAGCGUUCCACAUUUUU